RNAcentral lists this non-coding RNA (24 nucleotides) under Drosophila melanogaster (fruit fly). RNAcentral also lists the same sequence under 20 other names. Lineage: Eukaryota; Metazoa; Arthropoda; Insecta; Diptera; Drosophilidae. The record is from RNAcentral.
UAAAGUAUUUUACUUUUAUUAGAA